UGCCGCCUAUAGUGUAUCGCGACUCGCGUUUGAUCAUGGGGCAGCACUGAUAACAAGGUAGGAGGAAAGAGGGGGCGAGGAUAACCUACCUAUAAGACUGGGAUCACUUCGGGAAACCGGAGCUAAUACCGGAUAAUAUAUUGAACCGCAUGGUUCAAUAGUGAAAGACGGUUUUGCUGUCACUUAUAGAUGGAUCCGCGCCGCAUUAGCUAGUUGGUAAGGUAACGGCUUACCAAGGCAACGAUGCGUAGCCGACCUGAGAGGGUGAUCGGCCACACUGGAACUGAGACACGGUCCAGACUCCUACGGGAGGCAGCAGUAGGGAAUCUUCCGCAAUGGGCGAAAGCCUGACGGAGCAACGCCGCGUGAGUGAUGAAGGUCUUCGGAUCGUAAAACUCUGUUAUUAGGGAAGAACAAAUGUGUAAGUAACUAUGCACGUCUUGACGGUACCUAAUCAGAAAGCCACGGCUAACUACGUGCCAGCAGCCGCGGUAAUACGUAGGUGGCAAGCGUUAUCCGGAAUUAUUGGGCGUAAAGCGCGCGUAGGCGGUUUUUUAAGUCUGAUGUGAAAGCCCACGGCUCAACCGUGGAGGGUCAUUGGAAACUGGAAAACUUGAGUGCAGAAGAGGAAAGUGGAAUUCCAUGUGUAGCGGUGAAAUGCGCAGAGAUAUGGAGGAACACCAGUGGCGAAGGCGACUUUCUGGUCUGUAACUGACGCUGAUGUGCGAAAGCGUGGGGAUCAAACAGGAUUAGAUACCCUGGUAGUCCACGCCGUAAACGAUGAGUGCUAAGUGUUAGGGGGUUUCCGCCCCUUAGUGCUGCAGCUAACGCAUUAAGCACUCCGCCUGGGGGGAU
RNAcentral lists this ribosomal RNA (855 nucleotides) under Staphylococcus sp. A1.6. RNAcentral's name for it is "bacterial SSU rRNA". It matches the Rfam family "Bacterial small subunit ribosomal RNA", at positions 40 to 882 of the family's 1533-position model. Lineage: Bacteria; Bacillati; Bacillota; Bacilli; Caryophanales; Staphylococcaceae. The record is from RNAcentral.